GUGCUCAUUUGGGCAGCACAUAUGCUAAAAUUGGAGCAAUUCAGAGAAGAUUAGCAUGGCCCCUGUGCAAUGAUGACACGCAAAUUCAUAAAGCGUUCCAUAUUUUU
Saimiri boliviensis boliviensis (Bolivian squirrel monkey) is the source of this 107-nucleotide small nuclear RNA. The record is from RefSeq and is a predicted model, not a curated record. NCBI's taxonomy places the organism in Eukaryota, Metazoa, Chordata, Mammalia, Primates, Cebidae.